This 58-nucleotide transfer RNA is filed under the name Canis lupus familiaris (dog). It matches the Rfam family "tRNA", at positions 8 to 63 of the family's 71-position model. Rfam says of the family: Transfer RNA (tRNA) molecules are approximately 80 nucleotides in length. Their secondary structure includes four short double-helical elements and three loops (D, anti-codon, and T loops). Further hydrogen bonds mediate the characteristic L-shaped molecular structure. tRNAs have two regions of fundamental functional importance: the anti-codon, which is responsible for specific mRNA codon recognition, and the 3' end, to which the tRNAs corresponding amino acid is attached (by aminoacyl-tRNA synthetases). tRNAs cope with the degeneracy of the genetic code in two manners: having more than one tRNA (with a specific anti-codon) for a particular amino acid; and 'wobble' base-pairing, i.e. permitting non-standard base-pairing at the 3rd anti-codon position. RNAcentral also lists the same sequence under 2 other names. The record is from Rfam by way of RNAcentral. Lineage: Eukaryota; Metazoa; Chordata; Mammalia; Carnivora; Canidae.
UGGCUCAGUCAGUAGAGCAUGAGACUCUUGAUCUCCAAGUCAUGAGUUCGAGCCUCAC